This 71-nucleotide transfer RNA is filed under the name Bradyrhizobium diazoefficiens. Its description in RNAcentral is "tRNA-Gln". It matches the Rfam family "tRNA". Rfam says of the family: Transfer RNA (tRNA) molecules are approximately 80 nucleotides in length. Their secondary structure includes four short double-helical elements and three loops (D, anti-codon, and T loops). The record is from RNAcentral. Lineage: Bacteria; Pseudomonadati; Pseudomonadota; Alphaproteobacteria; Hyphomicrobiales; Nitrobacteraceae.
UGGGGCGUCGUCUAAUGGCAGGACAACGGGUUUUGGACCCGCGAACGGUGGUUCGAGUCCAUCCGCCCCAG